CCCCCCCAUCCCCCUACUCUCCCCUCCUCCCCCUUUAUUACCCUUUGUGUGUGUCUCUCCCCUCCACUGCUCCAGGAGAGGAAAUAAAAGUGGGGUGCAGCCAAGAUUAUCAUGGAAACCCUAUGUUGUUGGAUGAUGUUAAUCAUUGUUGAAAAUGAUACUGUUUUCAAAGAAGACUUUUAAAAAAGAGGAUUUUAUGCAGAAAAGAUUUUCUUGUUGGAGCUGUAUCAUCAUGAGAGAAUCAGAAGAGGUAUCCUGCAGCAGCUUGGAUAAUGAAUGGAAGAGGACAAGAAAACAAAAAGGACAUGGCAUAUAAGAGGAUUUAAGACCUGGAACUCUUGGCUGUAACGCGCCUGUCAAAAUGGGGUUUAUUCUCUCAAAACAGAAAUUACUGUAG
Long non-coding RNA from Euleptes europaea (tarantolino), 397 nucleotides. RefSeq lists it as uncharacterized. The transcript is spliced from 3 exons. Lineage: Eukaryota; Metazoa; Chordata; Lepidosauria; Squamata; Sphaerodactylidae. The record is from RefSeq and is a predicted model, not a curated record.